Molecule: small RNA, 115 nt
Filed under: Sinorhizobium meliloti 2011
Lineage: Bacteria; Pseudomonadati; Pseudomonadota; Alphaproteobacteria; Hyphomicrobiales; Rhizobiaceae
Description: putative ncRNA
Source: RNAcentral
AUCUCAUGAGCUGCCUGCGCGAUAUCCGCCUCGUCGGAGCCGACAUAGGUGUGCCGCAGCAGCAUGAUCUUCGGUCGCGGGACCUCUGGAUCCUUGGCGCAGGCGUCGUUGAACC